This 167-nucleotide microRNA precursor is filed under the name Triticum aestivum (bread wheat). RNAcentral's name for it is "MIR2118 microRNA precursor family". It matches the Rfam family "MIR2118 microRNA precursor family". Lineage: Eukaryota; Viridiplantae; Streptophyta; Magnoliopsida; Poales; Poaceae. RNAcentral also lists the same sequence under 1 other name. The record is from Rfam by way of RNAcentral.
GACAUGAAGAGGAAGAAAAUAAGAUACAAGAGUAGUGGGCAUGGGAACAUGGUGGAAGGCUAAAGCCCUCGUUCUUCGUUUAACACUUGAGGAGGCUUUGGUUUGAAUUUUUUGCCAUGCCUUCCAUGCCUAUUGUUAUUUGAUGCUCAUACCUCUUCCUUUUGGAU